Picea glauca (white spruce) is the source of this 121-nucleotide non-coding RNA. NCBI's taxonomy places the organism in Eukaryota, Viridiplantae, Streptophyta, Pinopsida, Pinales, Pinaceae. The record is from Rfam.
ACAUGCCUACAACAUAGUGUUAAUGCACCGGAUCCCAUUAGAACUCCUCAGUUAAGCACGCUCAGGCUAGAGUAGUACUGGGAUGAGUGACUUCCUGGGAAGUCCUAUUGUUUUACAUGCC